Molecule: long non-coding RNA, 755 nt
Organism: Musa acuminata AAA Group (dessert banana)
Lineage: Eukaryota; Viridiplantae; Streptophyta; Magnoliopsida; Zingiberales; Musaceae
Exons: 2
Source: RefSeq, a predicted model, not a curated record
UGCUUCCGGCCGCGGUGCGAGACACCAUCCCUGCUGUCGGUUUGCCGAUUAUAACAAGACGUCCGGACCUACCUUCCUGGUGAUCGAUGGUAGAUGUGGGUCCCGCGGGUUGUGUCGGUCGCAGAAUGAGCGGGUAGACGAUUACGGCAAGUCUCGGGGCUCAUGAAUUUAUAAUGCUUAUCCACUUCCGACAAUGGCCACUCGACCCCGUAAUACUACCAUUUCAGGUCGUCAGCCCCAGUUAGACCAACAGCUUCUUCCUGUCCCCGAUCGCAGGGAGCAGGGAGCAGGGAGCAGGGCAUCGUCAUCACCGCCCUCAUCCGAGCGACGACGAGAUCGAUUGGCUCUCCAUGGACUCUGUGACACCCAAGACAGAGGCUACAAAAGAACAGACUGUAGAAUUACUGAUAGCAAUCUCCCAAUCCGUUCCAAGAAUGAACCUCACAUCAAAUCCGUCACCUAUGAACUCAACCAUUGUUAUCAUGGCCCGUGAAAAGGAAAAUGAAGAUGCUGAGAAAUACAGAUCUAAGCUGAUCUCUAUCUCCUAUACACAGUCUCCUGAUGUUCAACGACCACCAUCUUUAGAAAAUUGUGGCAGUUAAAUGGGAAGUCGCAAUGACCUAAGGGCAUCUGAAUUUCUGUGUCUUGUAAUCUAUGCUGCUUGUUUACUUGCCACUAUCAAUAGGAUAAACUUGUUGUCAAGAUCUGCCAUGAUGUUCAAAGUAAUUUAAGAAGAAACUUGGAUAUGCCAGCUA